Molecule: ribosomal RNA, 208 nt
Filed under: uncultured Actinomycetales bacterium
Lineage: Bacteria; Bacillati; Actinomycetota; Actinomycetes; Actinomycetales
Description: partial 16S ribosomal RNA
Rfam family: Bacterial small subunit ribosomal RNA
Source: RNAcentral
UACGCCCUUGACUUUGGGAUAACUUCAGGAAACUGGGGCUAAUACCGGAUAGGAGCUCCUGCUGCAUGGUGGGGGUUGGAAAGUUUCGGCGGUUGGGGAUGGACUCGCGGCUUAUCAGCUUGUUGGUGGGGUAGUGGCUUACCAAGGCUUUGACGGGUAGCCGGCCUGAGAGGGUGACCGGCCACAUUGGGACUGAGAUACGGCCCAG